RNAcentral lists this ribosomal RNA (356 nucleotides) under uncultured bacterium. RNAcentral describes it as "bacterial SSU rRNA". It matches the Rfam family "Bacterial small subunit ribosomal RNA", at positions 29 to 412 of the family's 1533-position model. The record is from RNAcentral.
AACGAACGCUGGCGGCAGGCCUAACACAUGCAAGUCGAACGCCCCGCAAGGGGAGUGGCAGACGGGUGAGUAACACGUGGGAACGUACCCUUCGGUUCGGGAUAACUCAGGGAAACUUGAGCUAAUACCGGAUACGUCCGAGAGGAGAAAGAUUUAUCGCCGAGGGAUCGGCCCGCGUCUGAUUAGCUUGUUGGUGAGGUAACGGCUCACCAAGGCGACGAUCAGUAGCUGGUCUGAGAGGAUGAUCAGCCACAUUGGGACUGAGACACGGCCCAAAACUCCUACGGGAGGCAGCAGUGGGGAAUCUUGCGCAAUGGGCGAAAAGCCUGACGCAGCCAUGCCGCGUGAAUGAUGAA